GUCUAUGGCCAUGCCACCUUGAACAAGCCCGAUCCAUUCUGAUCUCAGAAGCUAAGCAGGGUCGGGCCUCGUAGUACUUGGAUGGGAGACCACCUAGGAAGACCAGGUGCUAUAGGCA
Molecule: ribosomal RNA, 118 nt
Filed under: Pteropus alecto (black flying fox)
Lineage: Eukaryota; Metazoa; Chordata; Mammalia; Chiroptera; Pteropodidae
Source: RNAcentral